GACGUUGAUUGACCAUGGAAAGGCUCUCCAACACCAUCGGAUGACACGGAUAAGCAACUCUUCUCGAGCUGCUACACAAUUCAAUUGGGUGAUGACCGCCUUGCAAUCUUUUGGAUGGAUCGUUGGCUCCAUGGUGAGGCCCCCUGCUGUGUUUCACCGGACAUCUUCAAGCUUGCUUGUUUCAAAAAGCGUUCCGUAAGGGAGGCGAUCACCAAUGGUAGAUGGAUGCAAGGAUUAAACAUGACAAGCAACGAGAAUCAACUGAUGCAGUUCAUCAAGUUGUGGGACGCGGUACAGUGGGUGGAGCUAUCUGACUCCAAGGAUCAUAUCGGAUGGUCACUAACUGCAAAUGCAAAGUACUCUGCCUCCUCAACCUAUGAUAUUCAGUUCGUGACCAGGAUCGAGCAGCCAAAUUUGGCGAAGGUGUGGACCUGCAGAUGGAAGGGAAGGUUAAGUUCUACAUCUGGUUACUCCUGCAAAACAGGAACUGGACCGCGGAUCGUUUGCACAUGA
This 513-nucleotide ribosomal RNA is filed under the name Triticum aestivum (bread wheat). Its description in RNAcentral is "partial small subunit ribosomal RNA". Lineage: Eukaryota; Viridiplantae; Streptophyta; Magnoliopsida; Poales; Poaceae. The record is from RNAcentral.